GACAGAGGGUGCGAACGUUGCUCGGAAUCACUGGGCGUAAAGCGCGCGUAGGCGGACCGGAAAGUCGGUUGUGAAAUCCCUGGGCUCAACCCAGGAACUGCAUCCGAAACUCCCGGUCUAGAGUGACGGAGAGGAUAGUGGAAUUCCCGGUGUAGAGGUGAAAUUCGUAGAUAUCGGGAGGAACACCAGUGGCGAAGGCGGCUAUCUGGACGUCCACUGACGCUGAGGCGCGAAAGCGUGGGGAGCAAACAGGAUUAGAUACCCUGGUAGUCCACGCCGUAAACGAUGAGAACUAGGUGUCGCGGGUAUUGACCCCUGCGGUGCCGUAGCUAACGCGUUAAGUUCUCCGCCUGGGGAGUACGGCCGCAAGGCUAAA
RNAcentral lists this ribosomal RNA (376 nucleotides) under uncultured bacterium. RNAcentral describes it as "bacterial SSU rRNA". It matches the Rfam family "Bacterial small subunit ribosomal RNA", at positions 524 to 898 of the family's 1533-position model. The record is from RNAcentral.